GGUAUUGGGUAGCUUCUGGAUGAAGACAUUGCCCUCAGGUUAAAGGCCUACCUUUUCUCAAUCCCCUUGCUACCAGAAUAGUCAUAUGACUACAUACCAGUCAAUGGAAUAUGGAUGGAGUAAUGGACCCCCAAAUUGUAUCCUGAGAAGAAAGGGAGCAGCCUCUACAUUCCCUGCCCUUUCCCCGCUCAUCUGAACGUAAGGCAGAGACUUGGCAAUCCACAUUUGACCUUGCCGACCCCCACAGACCUACAGUAGAGCAGCAAGGUGGAAGGACCCCAGAACCUGACAUCAGACAGCUGCCAGGCCAACCCUAGACUGUUCCCCUCCAGAUUGUUAUAUGAGGAAGAAAUUAGAUUCUCUCUCGCUUAAGCCAUGAUCAUCUGAUUCCCUGCAAUAGCAGUCAACCUGUAACCCAAUAGAAUCUGGAAUUACCAU
This 438-nucleotide long non-coding RNA is filed under the name Rattus norvegicus (Norway rat). Its description in RNAcentral is "long non-coding RNA NONRATT014962". The record is from RNAcentral. Lineage: Eukaryota; Metazoa; Chordata; Mammalia; Rodentia; Muridae.